Molecule: transfer RNA, 83 nt
Filed under: Schistocephalus solidus
Lineage: Eukaryota; Metazoa; Platyhelminthes; Cestoda; Diphyllobothriidea; Diphyllobothriidae
Rfam family: tRNA
About the family: Transfer RNA (tRNA) molecules are approximately 80 nucleotides in length. Their secondary structure includes four short double-helical elements and three loops (D, anti-codon, and T loops).
Source: Rfam by way of RNAcentral
GGCCUCGUAGCUCAGUUGGUUAGAGCGUUGGCUUUACCAAAACCUUCAUCUUUCUGGCUUGGGUUCGAAUCCCACCGAGACCG